Molecule: long non-coding RNA, 1608 nt
Organism: Megalopta genalis
Lineage: Eukaryota; Metazoa; Arthropoda; Insecta; Hymenoptera; Halictidae
Source: RefSeq, a predicted model, not a curated record
UCCAUGCCGGUCUAUUGCCACUUGCUUCGCCCUUUCUUCCUCGAUUAUUGCUGCGUCGGGCCUUACCGAUGCCUUCGGUCCUGUCCGGGUUCACGCUCGACGGAGGCUCGACAAUUGGGUGGCAAGCUUGAACGCGGCUACCGUUAAACGCUGCAACGGAGCAUGCAGAAAAUACUCGCGUUCGCGUCAAUGCAUUCUUCGCAGCCGAUUCAUUAAACCGCCAUUCGUUCUCCGCGAACUAAUUCUAAGCGGCGCAUUAUCUCGCUACUUCGCGACGCAGAGUAACGAAGUAUUCAUCAAGAUUCUCCUCUAGCUCUAUCGUUAACUAUUUGUUUUACGUUCAAUAAGGGGCUCGGCGUAGAGCUGGGACGACGCGUGUAUGCACGGCCCAUGUUGCAUCGAUAUCCUAGCCGUACUUGACGGUGCGUCGAUGAUUUCGUUAAAGCAUCGUAGAGGCAAAACGAAGAGGCCGGUUUCGGACAGUUUUAUCAAAAUGCACACUUCGCGCAUGGUAAAUUGACUGCUGGCUGAUCGCUCCCUCCUGUCGUUCUACUUCUCCCCCGGAUCGCGAGAGCUAGACACCACCCCUCUCACUCAUCCCUCCACAGGCAUCCCCGUCGGUGUUCUCGAUCGCACCAGCUACCUCGUUGAACUGGCUGACGGAGCAGGUAGAAGCGAAGAGAUAAAAUUCAAUUGACGUGUCCAGAAUUGUGCCUCUCCAACAUCUCGCUUUCGCCCCGUACAUCCCGCCGCGAGCAACGGCCAACAAAUGAGGAAAACGGGUUAAGAAACGAGUUAGCCAUUUUUCAUUCACAAGCAAUGAAACCUUCGUGUGUCCCGAGUUUUCCACCGGCGCUCUAUUGGAAGAUCAAAAAAUGGCACGCGCUUCCACGAGCGGUAAGAGGUUCUUCAUUCCCGAUGUAUCCGGCCGCGAUUUCGGGCGUUCGGUAAUACGGCUCCGCGCUCGACGGGAUAAUAUUAUAAUUCGGUGGAAAUCGUCGGCGCCCGACCACGGCCCAGACGCAAACACAGUCGAAACCUCGUUUCGCGGAUUUUUCGCUGGUCGCGCCGAUAGUCGGACGCCAUAACGCCGCAACGUCAUCACGGUAAUAUGUACGCGGUAAACACUAACAAUCGGAGGGACACGCGGCCGCCGUGGUCGGAGAAAGAGAGAAACGAUCGGCCGGGCGAGAGGGCUGGCGGGGGGUUUGGCGGAUAGCGAAAGGGUGGAACGACGAGCGAAAGGGUUGGAAAGGGACGGCGCUGCCGCCGAUAGAACGUAAAUGAGAGCGGAGCGGGCGCUGGCAAGCAGGUAUUCUCGUUGACGAACCAAUUCAUUAUUAUCCGGGAUAAAUAAUGCGCUGUGUGCCUUGCGGUAGCAGGAAUUGUUCGAUUUCCUUGUCGAUGUGCUGCGCGCAUAAACUGCCGGCCGGGGACGGCGCACACGCGUACGCGCGCGACCCACCAACGUGCCGAUAUCGGCGCGGCGCACACUUUAAAUAGAUCGCACGUGUAAUUAUUAGCGCGGCGAACGCUCCGACUCAGCGCACUUCCAAAAAAUGUAAAACCCUGCCAGAUACACGGAUAGGGGUUGCGUUCGACGGUGGG